RNAcentral lists this ribosomal RNA (314 nucleotides) under uncultured eukaryote. Its description in RNAcentral is "partial 18S ribosomal RNA". It matches the Rfam family "Eukaryotic small subunit ribosomal RNA", at positions 1470 to 1796 of the family's 1831-position model. The record is from RNAcentral.
CCCCUAGAUGUUCUGGGCCGCACGCGCGCUACACUGACGAAUGCAACGAGCUUAUAACCUUGGCCGAAAGGUCUGGGUAAUCUCCAAAUUUCGUCGUGAUGGGGAUAGAUUAUUGCAAUUAUUAAUCUUCAACGAGGAAUGCCUAGUAAGCGCAAGUCAUCAGCUUGCGUUGAUUACGUCCCUGCCCUUUGUACACACCGCCCGUCGCUCCUACCGAUUGAAUGGUCCGGUGAAGCCUCCGGAUUGGCGCGCACCUCGGUGCCGCCGAGAAGUUGGCUAAACCUUACCAUUUAGAGGAAGGUGAAGUCGUAACA